Molecule: ribosomal RNA, 414 nt
Filed under: uncultured bacterium
Lineage: Bacteria
Description: bacterial SSU rRNA
Rfam family: Bacterial small subunit ribosomal RNA
Source: RNAcentral
UCGGGAAUAUUGCGCAAUGGAGGAAACUCUGACGCAGUGACGCCGCGUAUAGGAAGAAGUUUUUCGGAAUGUAAACUAUUGUCGUUAGGGAAGAGAAAGGACAGUACCUAAGGAGGAAGCUCCGGCUAACUACGUGCCAGCAGCCGCGGUAAUACGUAGGGAGCGAGCGUUAUCCGGAAUUAUUGGGUGUAAAGGGUGCGUAGACGGGAGAGCAAGUUAGUUGUGAAAUCCCUCGGCUUAACUGAGGAACUGCAACUAAACUACUUUUCUUGAGUGCAGGAGAGGUAAGUGGAAUUCCUAGUAUAGCGGUGAAAUGCGUAGAUAUUAGGAGGAACACCAGUGGCGAAGGCGACUUACUGGACUGUAACUGACGUUGAGGCACGAAAGUGUGGGGAGCAAACAGGAUUAGAUACC